RNAcentral lists this ribosomal RNA (497 nucleotides) under uncultured bacterium. Its description in RNAcentral is "partial 16S ribosomal RNA". It matches the Rfam family "Bacterial small subunit ribosomal RNA", at positions 28 to 507 of the family's 1533-position model. The record is from RNAcentral.
GAUGAACGCUGGCGGCGUGCCUAAUACAUGCAAGUCGAGCGAACAGACGAGGAGCUUGCUCCUCUGACGUUAGCGGCGGACGGGUGAGUAAAACGUGGAUAACCUACCUAUAAGACUGGGAUAACUUCGGGAAACCGGAGCUAAUACCGGAUAAUAUAUUGAACCGCAUGGUUCAAUAGUGAAAGACGGUUUUGCUGUCACUUAUAGAUGGAUCCGCGCCGCAUUAGCUAGUUGGUAAGGUAACGGCUUACUAAGGCGACGAUGCGUAGCCGACCUGAGAGGGUGAUCGGCCACACUGGAACUGAGACACGGUCCAGACUCCUACGGGAGGCAGCAGUAGGGAAUCUUCCGCAAUGGGCGAAAGCCUGACGGAGCAACGCCGCGUGAGUGAUGAAGGUCUUCGGAUCGUAAAACUCUGUUAUUAGGGAAGAACAAAUGUGUAAGUAACUAUGCACGUCUUGACGGUACCUAAUCAGAAAGCCACGGCUAACUACGUG